UACGGAGGGUGCAAGUGUUGUUCGGAUUUACUGGGCGUAAAGGGCGCGUAGGUGGAUAGGUAAGUCAGAUGUGAAAUCCUGAGGCUUAACCUCAGAACUGCAUUUGAUACUGCCUACCUUGAGUGUGGUAGAGGAGAGUGGAAUUCCCGGUGUAGAGGUGAAAUUCGUAGAUAUCGGGAGGAACACCAGUGGCGAAGGCGACUCUCUGGGCCAUUACUGACACUGAGGCGCGAAAGCGUGGGUAG
Molecule: ribosomal RNA, 245 nt
Filed under: uncultured delta proteobacterium
Lineage: Bacteria; Deltaproteobacteria
Description: partial 16S ribosomal RNA
Rfam family: Bacterial small subunit ribosomal RNA
Source: RNAcentral